AACGAACGCUGGCGGCAUGCCUAACACAUGCCAGUCGAACGAGACCUUCGGGUCUAGUGGCGCACGGGUGCGUAACGCGUGGGAACCUGCCCUUAGGUUCGGAAUAACUCCCCGAAAGGGGUGCUAAUACCGGAUAAUGUCUUCGGACCAAAGAUUUAUCGCCUUUGGAUGGGCCCGCGUUGGAUUAGCUAGUUGGUAGGGUAAAAGCCUACCAAGGCGACGAUCCAUAGCUGGUCUGAGAGGAUGAUCAGCCACACUGGGACUGAGACACGGCCCAGACUCCUACGGGAGGCAGCAGUGGGGAAUAUUGGACAAUGGGCGAAAGCCUGAUCCAGCAAUGCCGCGUGAGUGAUGAAGGCCUUAGGGUUGUAAAGCUCUUUUACCCGGGAUGAUAAUGACAGUACCGGGAGAAUAGGCGCCGGCUAACUCCGUG
This 433-nucleotide ribosomal RNA is filed under the name uncultured bacterium. RNAcentral describes it as "partial 16S ribosomal RNA". It matches the Rfam family "Bacterial small subunit ribosomal RNA", at positions 29 to 507 of the family's 1533-position model. The record is from RNAcentral.